UAGGGAAUCUUCCGCAAUGGACGAAAGUCUGACGGAGCAACGCCGCGUGAGUGAAGAAGGAUUUCGGUUCGUAAAACUCUGUUGUUAGGGAAGAAAAAAUGUAUAGUAACUAUAUACAAAAGAGACGGUACCUAACCAGAAAGCCACGGCUAACUACGUGCCAGCAGCCGCGGUAAUACGUAGGGGGCUAGCGUUGUCCGGAAUCACUGGGCGUAAAGGGUUCGCAGGCGGAAAUGCAAGUCAGGUGUAAAAGGCAGUAGCUUAACUACUGUAAGCAUUUGAAACUGCAUAUCUUGAGACGAGUAGAGGUAAGUGGAAUUUUUAGUGUAGCGGUGAAAUGCGUAGAUAUUAAAAAGAAUACCGGUGGCGAAGGCGACUUACUGGGCUCAUUCUGACGCUGAGGAACGAAAGCGUGGGUAGCAAACAGG
This 428-nucleotide ribosomal RNA is filed under the name Verrucomicrobiota bacterium. RNAcentral describes it as "Verrucomicrobia bacterium partial 16S ribosomal RNA". It matches the Rfam family "Bacterial small subunit ribosomal RNA", at positions 355 to 776 of the family's 1533-position model. The record is from RNAcentral. Lineage: Bacteria; Pseudomonadati; Verrucomicrobiota.